UGUGUGAUGGGGAGCGAAAUUUAGUAGCGAAGUUCCUGAUGUCACACUGCCAAGAAAAGCUUCUAGUGAGAAAGUAACUGCCCGUACCGCAAACCGACACAGGUAGUUGAGGAGAGAAUCCUAAGGUGUGCGAGAGAACUCUCGUUAAGGAACUCGGCAAAAUGGCCCCGUAACUUCGGGAGAAGGGGUGCUGACCGCAAGGUCAGCCGCAGUGAAUAGGCCCAAGCGACUGUUUAUCAAAAACACAGGUCUCUGCAAAAUCGAAAGAUGACGUAUAGGGGCUGACGCCUGCCCGGUGCUGGAAGGUUAAGAGGAGAGGUUAGCGCAAGCGAAGCUUUGAAUUGAAGCCCCAGUAAACGGCGGCCGUAACAAUAACGGUCCUAAGGUAGCGAAAUUCCUUGUCGGGUAAGUUCCGACCCGCACGAAAGGCGUAACGAUUUGGGCACUGUCUCAACGAGAGACUCGGUGAAAUUAUAGUACCAGUGAAGAUGCUGGUUACCCGCGACAGGACGGAAAGACCCCAUGGAGCUUUACUGCAGUUUGAUAUUGCGUGUUUGUAUCACAUGUACAGGAUAGGUAGGAGCCGAAGAUACCGGGACGCCAGUCUCGGAGGAGGCAACGGUGGGAUACUACCCUUGUGAUAUGACCACUCUAACCCGCUGCUCUUAGCGAGCAGGGAGACAGUGUCAGACGGGCAGUUUGACUGGGGCGGUCGCCUCCAAAAAUGUAACGGAGGCGCCCAAAGGUUCCCUCAGAAUGGUUGGAAAUCAUUCGUAGAGUGUAAAGGCAGAAGGGAGCUUGACUGCGAGACCUACAAGUCGAGCAGGGACGAAAGUCGGGCUUAGUGGUCCGGUGGUUCCGCAUGGAAGGGCCAUCGCUCAACGGAUAAAAGCUACCCUGGGGAUAACAGGCUUAUCUCCCCCAAGAGUUCACAUCGACGGGGAGGUUUGGCACCUCGAUGUCGGCUCAUCGCAUCCUGGGGCUGUAGUCGGUCCCAAGGGUUGGGCUGUUCGCCCAUUAAAGCGGUACGCGAGCUGGGUUCAGAACGUCGUGAGACAGUUCGGUCCCUAUCCGUCGCGGGCGUUGGAAAUUUGAGAGGAGCUGUCCUUAGUACGAGAGGACCGGGAUGGACACACCGCUGGUGUACCAGUUGUUCUGCCAAGAGCAUCGCUGGGUAGCUAUGUGUGGACGGGAUAAACGCUGAAAGCAUCUAAGCGUGAAGCCCCCUUCAAGAUGAGAUUUCCCAUCACUUUAAGUGAGUAAGACCCCUGAGAGAUGAUCAGGUAGAUAGGUUGGGAGUGGAAGUACAGCGAUGUAUGGAGCGGACCAAUACUAAUCGGUCGAGGACUUAACCAA
This 1356-nucleotide ribosomal RNA is filed under the name metagenome. Its description in RNAcentral is "bacterial LSU rRNA". It matches the Rfam family "Bacterial large subunit ribosomal RNA", at positions 1560 to 2925 of the family's 2925-position model. The record is from RNAcentral.